This 659-nucleotide long non-coding RNA is filed under the name Pongo abelii (Sumatran orangutan). RNAcentral describes it as "lincRNA". Lineage: Eukaryota; Metazoa; Chordata; Mammalia; Primates; Hominidae. The record is from RNAcentral.
GGUGCUGACUGCCACAGGAGAGCAGAGGCAAGGCAGCCACUGAAUGUUCCAGAACGGAGAAGAGGGAAAAUGUGUUUAAAACUUCUUGUGGGAAAUGGCUACCCGGCACAGGCACAACUUCAAAAGCAGGAUGGUAGAAAUGGAAACCUGAGGGAGAGACCCCAAGGUUAUUGAGGAAAGGAAUCACAAGAUGUUUCUCUCUGAUAGUCUCUUUACUGUCCUUAUUCCUGGUUGAUUUUUGAGCUGACCAUCAGAGCCUGAAGCCUGCCGAUUGUCGUCUCUAUGAAGCAGAUGACUGAAUAUGGAGUUUGAUAAAUGCAAGAAGUCAAAGCCAACAUCUGAAGAGAUUUCAGCUGGGAUGCUGAUGCGAUCUCUCUUAGACAAAAUGCUUGCUUUGCGUCUAUUUCAUGCUGCUACCAAGUAGGUGAAAUUCUAAGGAUUUAGAUACCAUUACCCUAGAGCUCCCAGAAUAAAAUUUGAGUAUGAAAUUACAGAUGAUUGCCACUGGGAGGCCCCGGUGAUCUGCAAAAUGAACUUUUCCUUCUGAAUAAAUAAGUGAAAAUAAAAGAAAUGAUUUAAGCAAGUGAAUUGAAUUAUAAAAGAUGAUAUGCAAAUGCAUCAAAAGCGGCAAGGGGUAAAUACACAACAAUGUAAUGUGA